RNAcentral lists this ribosomal RNA (1312 nucleotides) under Streptococcus thermophilus. RNAcentral describes it as "bacterial SSU rRNA". It matches the Rfam family "Bacterial small subunit ribosomal RNA", at positions 126 to 1415 of the family's 1533-position model. The record is from RNAcentral. Lineage: Bacteria; Bacillati; Bacillota; Bacilli; Lactobacillales; Streptococcaceae.
CUUUGUAGUCCGUGUGCGGAUAACUAUUGGAAACGAUAGCUAAUACCGCAUAACAAUGGAUGACACAUGUCAUUUAUUUGAAAGGGGCAAUUGCUCCACUACAAGAUGGACCUGCGUUGUAUUAGCUAGUAGGUGAGGUAAUGGCUCACCUAGGCGACGAUACAUAGCCGACCUGAGAGGGUGAUCGGCCACACUGGGACUGAGACACGGCCCAGACUCCUACGGGAGGCAGCAGUAGGGAAUCUUCGGCAAUGGGGGCAACCCUGACCGAGCAAGGCCGCGUGAGUGAAGAAGGUUUUCGGAUCGUAAAGCUCUGUUGUAAGUCAAGAACGGGUGUGAGAGUGGAAAGUUCACACUGUGACGGUAGCUUGACCAGAAAGGGACGGCCUAACUAUCGUGCCAGCAGCCGCGGUAAUACCGUAGGUCCCGAGCGUUGUCCGGAUUUAUUGGGCGUAAAGCAGAGCGCAGGCGGUUUGAUAAGUCUGAAGUUAAAGGCCUGUGGCUCAACCAUAGUUCGCUUUGGGAAACUGUCAAACUUGAGUGCAGAAGGGGAGAGUGGAAUUCCAUGUGUAGCGGUGAAAUGCGUAGAUAUAUGGAGGAACACCCGGUGGCGAAAGCGGCUCUCUGGUCCUGUAACUGACGCUGAGGCUCGAAAGCGUGGGGAGCGAACAGGAUUAGAUACCCUGGUAGUCCACGCCGUAAACGAUGAGUGCUAGGUGUUGGAUCCUUUCCGGGAUUCAGUGCCGCAGCUAACGCAUUAAGCACUCCGCCUGGGGAGUACGACCGCAAGGUUGAAACUCAAAGGAAUUGACGGGGGCCCGCACAAGCGGUGGAGCAUGUGGUUUAACUACGAAGCAACGCGAAGAACCUUACCAGGUCUUGACAUCCCGAUGCUAUUUCUAGAGAUAGAAAGUUACUUCGGUACAUCGGUGACAGGUGGUGCAUGGUUGUCGUCAGCUCGUGUCGUGAGAUGUUGGGUUAAGUCCCGCAACGAGCGCAACCCCUAUUGUUAGUUGCCAUCAUUCAGUUGGGCACUCUAGCGAGACUGCCGGUAAUAAACCGGAGGAAGGUGGGGAUGACGUCAAAUCAUCAUGCCCCUUAUGACCUGGGCUACACACGUGCUACAAUGGUUGGUACAACGAGUUGCGAGUCGGUGACGGCGAGCUAAUCUCUUAAAGCCAAUCUCAGUUCGGAUUGUAGGCUGCAACUCGCCUACAUGAAGUCGGAAUCGCUAGUAAUCGCGGAUCAGCACGCCGCGGUGAAUACGUUCCCGGGCCUUGUACACACCGCCCGUCACACCACGAGAGUUUGU